Non-coding RNA from Phasianus colchicus (ring-necked pheasant), 3682 nucleotides. The record is from RefSeq and is a predicted model, not a curated record. Lineage: Eukaryota; Metazoa; Chordata; Aves; Galliformes; Phasianidae.
GCGGCGGGACUGUGAGGGAGCGCCUCCCCUCAGCGCAGCCACCGGCUGGGCUGGUGUAGCCCAGCUAGCAGCCGCACAGUGCUCGCUGUUUGUGUCGCUCACUGCCUCGUUUCCACGGCUCUGUAACACCCAAGCACUUCGGUUGGAGACACAACGUGAUGCCACCACGUCCCAUCCUAUCGCCGUUACCGGGAGCAGAGCUGACCCACCUCAGCGCAGCCUCCCUUUAGGAGCUGCAGAGCAGCGAGGUCUCCCCUCAGCUCCUCCGCGCUGCCCCGUGCCGUUCCCUCAGCCGCCCCCCAUCGCACAGCUCCGUGCCCAGGAUGAUAACCCCACAUCCUCUAUCUGCUGACCAAAGGCUGUUGCCCCUACCUGCACUUCCCUCACAAAGCUGCGGCCCAGCCUCCCCUAGCCAAGGCGAUGCUGCCUUGCUUAUGAAAAACCCAUUAGCAGAGGUGCCUCCUCAGCAUGGGAACCAGGACGGUGUUGUGCUGUGUGAACACGAUGCUGUGGUUUCCAGUGCAGGUACAGAGCACUCUCAGAAGCUGGGGGAGCCACUUCCCCUCCUUCAGCUUUAGAUAACCCAGAGCAGUUAGGAACCACGGAAGAUUACCUGCUCAUACCAAACUGCGGGAGGCUGAGACUGCAUCUGUGUCAAUUGUUGAUUUUUCUAGGGGGGAAGAAUCAACCCCAAACGAUGGUGAGCAUUCUGAAUGGCUCAGCAUUUGAUAUCUGUUAUCUCCGUCUACAAAAUGAAUCCCUUUUUGGAAAUGUUUGCUUCAUCAGUGGAGCCUGAAGGUGUCCUGCAGGUCCAUUUUCACCUGGGGAGGCUCAGUACGAAGGCUACCCCGCUGCUGGUGUGGACAUCUGCAUCCCAGGAGGAGCCCAACCCCCGAACCAAGAGAAGGGCGAUGAUGCACCGGGAAGGCUCCAGAAGGGGCGAACGGGCAGAUCUCACGCUUGGAGGACAGCCGGAUCUCUCCGGGAGCGCUCCCCAUUCCUUCAGUGCAGCUGGCCCCCCAGCCCGGCUCACAUUUGGCGACAAGCCGCAGGGCCGGCUGCCGGAGGGUCGGCGCCAGCGUGGAACAGGAUCUGGGUAACCACAUCCGCACUCGGCGACAGGUCGGGGGCCGCGCUGCGUGCCAGAUGGCCCGGCCCAGCCCGGCUCUGAUGGCAGGGGGACCCUAGGCGCUGCCGGGAAGUGACAAAGGGACCUUCGCCCUCGCUGCUUCCGACAGCGCGAGGGAGGCAGACGGAGAGGUGACAUCUCCGACGGAGGCAGCCACGGGGCCGUGGGCAGCCCGUGCCACGAGGCAGCAGCGCCAGCCCCCAAGCGAACUUCCCGGAGCUGAUUGAAACGCCUAUAAAAAAGCAGCCGUGUGCGCAGCCUCUGCGAUUAUUAUAUUGUACCGCAAGCUGCUUCCUGUCCCGAGCCUCUUUUAUCUCGCAUUGUUUUCCUUUCCAGGUGGGGCUGCGGGCUCCCCGCCGCUCGGCCCCCCGGGCUUCCUGCUCGCUCAGAGCCACCUUUGUCUGCCGGCCCUCCCCCUGCCCCCGCUAUUUCGGGAAACGGCAGCUGAGCCGGAGGGUUGCGAAUUGUUUGUCAGCUCGCUGCCAGCCUGCCGACAUCGCACGCGGAGAGAGGAGCGCCUGGUCGCACCCUGCCCGCCCGUCUGCUGCCGGGGACGGGGCAGUGCCCCUCGGCUGGGCGCACACACGGGGACGCGGCAGCUCCCCGCGUGGGAACGGGCGAAGCAGCGGCCCAACAGGCAGACAGGCGCAGACAGACAGACAACAAAGCCACCCCAGGCGAGCGCUGACCUCAGAAGCUGCCAUGUGACGCUGCCUCAAACUUACUAAGGCAUGACAUCAGCCUGGGAGGGAAAAGCAGGGCUGCCACCAAAAUACCGCCCGGCUUAAAAGGGCUGAGCUGGGCCGGCCUUUCUGCUGCGUGCUCCCCUCUGGGCAAGCAGCCACCCGCAGCCCUGCUUCUGUGUUCAGAGCUCUGGGGGUCACGCAUGUUUGUGGGAGGAAACAGCGUCCGGGUGUAUUCAGCUGUAGCUAUUCCGCCUGGCACGCGUGCUUGCCCUCUGCACAGCUGUCCCCUCUGUGGGUACUGCUGAGGACGGAGGACCACGUUUUGGUGCUGGCUGUGUGGCUGUCCCUGCAUCCCACGGCCCUUGGGGAGCCGGCAGGCAGGUUGUGUUGGCUGGUGGGAAAGUCUCGUGUCAUUGGGAUGAGGCAGAGCGGCAGAACAGGUUGGUCAGCCUGCGUGCACUCAUCUUUACUCAGCAGAGCGCCCGUGCUGUGCCGCGCCCGCCCAUGCUGAGCUUUCCCCGGGCUCCGCACCGCUGCUCUGUAUCGACUCAGGCAGAUGGCAUCAGAUGAGAUGUGCAAGGCAUGAUUUAUUCUCACUGGGGUCAUCUGCUGAACACAAAGGAGCCCUGUCCCUGCCAGCAAGGAGUCCCGCAGCACCCACAAAGAAUCCCCGUUGUUUUCACAUGCGGAUGGUCACACAACCGCGGGUGAGGAGCUGCCACUGCGGUCCGAAAGAGCUGCCCCGGCUGGUCGGGCUGAGCAGAGGGCUGGCCCUGAGCACGGAGCAGGUUGGGCAGGUUGGGAACGCUGAGGACAGCAGUGCUUGGUUCCCAUCAGAAGGGUGGGAGGGAAAGCCCUGCUCUGCCCCGGGGUGUUCUCCGCAGCCCAGAGGCUGGUGCACUGUGCACUGCGUUUGGAGAGCAUUCCUUGGGGGUUUGCAGCAGGAGGAAAAUGUGCUGGGCUUGGGGUUCCUGGGGAGGAAGGCUUCUGUUGUGCCACCUGCAUCUUGGGCUGACAUAGGGCACGAUGAAGUAGCAGAGAAACUCCUACAGAGUGUAAAAGUCCUCCUUUUUUUUUUUUUUUUUUUUCCCCACCCCAGCAAAGCAACGAUGUCCAUUUUUUCGCCCUGUAAUUGCUCCUUUUGCCUUCUGUGGUGCCCAGAUGUUCCCUUUUCCACCUCCAGAAGACUGCAUCAGCAGCAGGGGAAAUCACCAGACCUGUCCCAGGUCUGAAGCCUUCUGACAAGACCAGGGGUCCCUGGUGGGUCCUUUUGACAGCAGGCAGCAUGCUUGAGGCCUGAUGGAGACGGGCAGCCCCUGCACCUCACAUCCUGUUCCUCAGCACCAACUGUGGCUCUUGUUUUGGGUGAGAAGGCGAGGAGUGGGAAGGCAGUGUGCGUCACAUGGCAGACAGGAAGCCAGCAGACAGAAAGCGAUACUUGGGGUUCCACUUCCUUCAUGCUGGUCUGUCCUUUCACUUCUGUCCUUGCCGUGUUGCCCCCAAUGGAGGUGGUUGCCGCUUCCUGGAGCUUGGAUGGGGGGAGAAAGAGGCAAGAAUCGUUCUUGCUUUUUUAUUUUUUUUUCCCUCCAGAAAAUCAAUCAAAUCCAAAUUCACGACCUGGAAAAAGUAAAUCCAACCCCAAUAAAAAUAAAAUAAAAAAAAAAACCAACAUCAAAAACAACUGCCCCUUGCGUGCUGUACGAUGGAAAGCGUGGAGCCGCGGGAGGAAUGCUUCGCAAAGUGCUGUUUUGACAAAAACUAGUAGCCGAAGAAGACACCACAUUAUCCCCGCUUGCCUUCCACUCUACGUGGGCCCCACCAGCCGCGCGCCGCCGUUGCCGCUUUAAGGGCUCUCUCCGCGGGGCGA